AUUUUAAAAGAGGUAUUAAGUCUAAUUUUUUUAAAUAUACAUACAAAUUUUGGGGGCGGGGGAGAUACAUUAUGGUAUUAAACAAAGUAUCAUUUAUGUCUUCACCUUAAUUUAUGUAAAUUACAUACUGUAAUCUAAUCAAGAAUCCUGGCUGGGCUUUAGUAAACAAGCCACUAUUUAUAAACACAUUAAGGGUGAAAAACCCAACAAGCAUAGCUAGAACUUUCAUAGAGUGUUCUCUCUCAUAUAAAUUCUUAAUGGACUAUAAAGGACUUUUUAAGUGGUUUUAGAUUUGAAUUCAAUUGCUCAAAUGGGAAUAAACUAGUCAUAUUUACAAUCGUGGUGUUUAUUCAUUAUAAACCUAAACAUGAGAUCAGAAAGAAAUGGGAGCUUGUAGAACAAAAACAAACAAAACCGUAACAUUACUUGACCGUAGAGGUUUGUUCCAUCCACAUCACCUAUUCACAGAGAUUAAAAGUAUCCAGUUUGAACAUUCAUAAUUUGCUAACAAACUAGAGUGAUUUAUGUUGCUCUGAGCACAUCUAAAAAUUACAUAAGACAAGAAAACAAUGAGUUUUAAAACUCAUAAUUAUGAUCAAGAAAAUGGAAAAUUAUUAUCACUGAAUUUCAAAUGUGCUACAUGAAUUCCAUACACAGGGUUUGUUUUUGCCUACACCACCCACCAUCACUACCCCACCAACCUGGCUGAGAGUCUGAAGUCUGUAAGCAUCCAAAAUUGCUGAUGUUGACCACCACCACUGCCCCCCACCCCGAGUUCACACGUAAUAAAAUACGUCCCUCUCUCAUCCUACUUCAUGCAAUCUACUAAUCCUAUUCUUUUACUCAUGGCCUUCAAUAAUCAGGGACUGCAGCUGAUAAUUUGGGAAAUUUUCCAAUGCAGCCAAUUUGAAAAAUUACUCUAACAUUUACUUUGACCUAAGCAUAAAAACAUAAGGCCUGUGCCACCAUCAGAUUCCUCCUAAUGGUUUAUUCUCGAAUUAUACGAAUCUCUUAAAAUUGAGGACAGCAGCCUAUUAAAGUUGAAUACAGUAAGGAUAAACACACUUACAGUCCCACAAUAUGCAGAGAGCUCACAUUUCCCCUGGACUAGGAAGAGAACUAAUUUCUGAUUAUGCUUUGUGGCUGUGUACUUUCCCGCUAUAGUGUCAACCAUGUUUCCUUCUAUCAGUUCACGGAUCUCUCUCCUAAACCUGUUUUCUCUCUCAAACAUUGUUUCAAUGAUAAAUUCCUCCCAUUAACUAUGAUUUGCCAAGUGGGCCUUCUAUUGUCUUUUUGUGUCAUAAUAAAAUCUGCUCUUACAAUUUCAAAUACCACAAAAACAUCUGCAGCUUAUCUGGCAGUCCUAGGUUCUUGUUGCAUCGAUUUGCAAAUCUCUCAUCCUUCUUGUCUUCUGAAGUCUGCUAGUUCCUUAACAAGGGACACCUAAAUGGAGAUCUGCUUCUCUGCCUUUUCCAGUAACACUAACAGUACCAGGUGCUUGAGAAUGGUUGCCAUCUACACAUCCAAACUCGCCCUGUCACUGUCACUGGGUCCACCAUCACUGCAGCGCAUAGCCGUGCUCCCUCCUCCUCUGGACUAGACACAGAUGCUGCCUGUUAACACCACCCUCACCUCCAGUCUCAGCCCACCUUGUCCCCCUAAGAGUGGAUCGCAACACUUGCGUGGUUUUGAGCAUCACUUCUGACAUGCCUGACACGCCACCUCACUCUUCACAAGUGCAGCGAUUUCUGCUCAGCUAGCUCAUUUUCUAGGUUCACUCGAUACACAACAACAUCACUAAUUCCUCUCUAGCCACCAAACAUCUCUCAGCUCAUCCCAAAUAUCUGAAACACAGUAUGGGCAUCUCUCUGCCAAGCUAUUCCUUUUAACAGAUAUUAAGGCGUUAGGUUAAUCUAGCCUGAAUAAAUAUAGGUCUUUCUCUAAAACCAACACUUUGUACUAUACAUAACCUACUCUAAAACUCUCUGCUCCGUAGAAUAUGCAUUUCUUUCUCGAUUAUUACAGCAGCUUAUGCAUAUGGACAUACGUAUACAUAUGUACUUUCAUAAUUCCAUUUAUUUUCAUAUAAUUACAAAAUGUAGCAUUAGCUCUUGGAUAAGGGUACAGAAGGUGCUAAACAUAUCUACUGUUACUUCUUCAAGUCUAAAAGUCAAGGCUCUCAGAUUAUGAGUUAAAAGAAAAUUAACUUUUUUUCUUCAAAUAAUGUUGGCAUUUAGAUGCCAAAUUCUUUCCUGUUGUGUUUCCAUUUGCCCCAAUUACACAUUUUUAAAACAACGUACCAACAAUUAGAAUAAACAGAUAAUCCUAAAGUAUUAAUGUAAACAUUCAUAAAACAGAUCAGAGCAUACGGGCCACUGUAAAGGUUUUUUUUUUUUUCUGUAUAGCAUGAAUUUAUAUACAUGUAUAUAUCUGAAAAACGUUCUUUAAAAAAUUAAGUUGUACAUACUUAGCACAUCAAAAUUAAUAUAUAAAACUAUUGUUUCUUUUAAGGAAAGGAGAAAUGGUGAAGACAACGACAAAAGCAGCAAACCUAAAAGUUUCAGCUCCAUAAAAUAUAUGGUUGCCUAUUAGAAAGGAAAACCUCCAGG
Molecule: long non-coding RNA, 2609 nt
Filed under: Homo sapiens (human)
Lineage: Eukaryota; Metazoa; Chordata; Mammalia; Primates; Hominidae
Description: non-protein coding lnc-FOXC1-12:3
Source: RNAcentral